This 309-nucleotide unclassified non-coding RNA is filed under the name uncultured Agaricales. RNAcentral's name for it is "sequence contains 5.8S rRNA gene, ITS2, 28S rRNA gene". Lineage: Eukaryota; Fungi; Basidiomycota; Agaricomycetes; Agaricales. The record is from RNAcentral.
AACGCACCUUGCGCUCCUUAGUAAUUGAGGAGCAUGCCUGUUUGAGCGUCAUUAAAUUCUCAACCUAACCAGCUUUUUGUGAGCUUGGAUAGGCUUGGAUCUUGGGGGUCUUUGCUGGCUUCAAGGAAGUCAAGCUCCCCUUAAAUGCAUUAGUGGGAACCUUUUGUUGAACCCUUCUUGUUCCCUGGUGUGAUAAACAUCUUUUUGUUAUCUACACCGUGGACGGUUUAUAAAGGGCUUUCUGCUUCUAACCCCCAACACUUUAUGAACUUUGACCUCAAAUCAGGUAGGACUACCCGCUGAACUUAA